CUGCAUGCGCAGGAGAUGCGUGCCACACUCGUCUGCCGGCAGGGCGCCAGCCGACAGUGGAUGCAGCGGCAGUCACAGGAUCCGUUUGUAGCCAAGGCGCGCCAGGACGGCUACGUCGCGCGCAGCGCGUACAAACUGACACACAUAGACGACCGCUUUCACCUCUUCGACCGCCAGCACACACGCAUCGCGAUAGACCUCGGCUGCAGUCCGGGCGGGUGGUGUCAGGUGAUACGUGAGAGGGCCGGCGACCGCUGCUUCCUCCUUGGUAUCGAUCUUCUGCCCAUCAAGGCGCAGAUCCCGAAUGCCGUGAUUGUGCAGGGAGACUUUACAGACGUUACCACCCAAGAGAAGCUUGUGAAGUGCCUUGCCCAUCACAGCGCUACUCUCGGCAGAGGAGAUGCAACGACGGCGGUGGCGUCGCCGUCCUCCUCUUGCUUUACCAAAGUGGAUGUCGUCACGUCGGACAUGUGCCCUAACCGAAUGGGCGGCUCCCAAGAUCGGCAGCGCAUCGCGCAGCUGAACCUGCAAGCCAUCAACGUGUGUGCACCGCUGCUACGCAUUGGCGGGCACUUUGUAUGCAAAGUCCUCGGGAGCCGCGCCGCCUACGAGGAGCUGUGGUGCCGCCUGUCCCGACUCUUCCUUACUGUGCACGCGUGUAAGCCGCCGGCGAGCCGCAUGCACAGUGAUGAGGCUUUCUUGGUGGCGCUGGACAAGCUUGCAACGCCGCGUCCGGCCUCGUCCGCCACCCGAAGCUGCUCCUCGAGAGCGAUCAUGGGCACAGCUAGUGGAGACAGCAGCGGUGGGGGUCGUUUCGGCCUGGACGACUGGCCGGGUUUCGGGCGCCCGGAACGGCGCCAGCGGCGGGGAUGAGGCUCUACAGCGGAGAGGGAAAGAGGAUGGAAGAAGGACUGCUACAAGAGAGCCCGCGCAAUGGCAGCGCGUGUGUGCAUGUAGUUGUAGCCCUGCUGAAGGACCGCCUCGCCUCAUCAUCUGUCUCUUCGCAUGCAGUGUUGAAAACAACAUGAUCCGUGGGUGAACACGACAUGAAAAAAAAAAACGAAGGAGCAAUCGAAGAUCUGUUUCCGCGUGUGAGCACCCGUUGCAUGUCCCACACGCACAUACACUGGCAAGCAGAACGGCUCCACACGUCACGGGCACAGAUCAUGAAGUCUACGUACUUCGUGUGUAGGCGCAGCAUGCAGCGCUACGGCUGCUUGCGUGGCGUGCGCCUCUUCCUUGACGAGAAGCGAUCGGGCACAUGCACAGAUGCAGGCAAAUUCGCACUCGAGCAUGCACGCACGAACUCGCCCCCCCCCUCCUCUCCCGCCUCCCUAUCUGUCAUCCUUGUUUAUCAUCUUUGCGCAG
Molecule: unclassified non-coding RNA, 1368 nt
Filed under: Leishmania donovani
Lineage: Eukaryota; Euglenozoa; Kinetoplastea; Trypanosomatida; Trypanosomatidae
Description: gene:LdHU3.23.0790(CDS-product:ribosomal_RNA_meth yltransferase-like_protein)
Source: RNAcentral